GCUCUGGUGGCCUAAGUGGUUAGAGCGUCUGCCUCAAAUACAAGAGGUUGCAGGUUUGAACCCUAACCAGGUCA
This is a non-coding RNA of Potamilus streckersoni, 74 nucleotides long. Lineage: Eukaryota; Metazoa; Mollusca; Bivalvia; Unionida; Unionidae. The record is from the annotation of a GenBank genome assembly.